RNAcentral lists this unclassified non-coding RNA (326 nucleotides) under Ascomycota sp. Its description in RNAcentral is "partial contains small subunit ribosomal RNA and internal transcribed spacer 1". The stretch from base 1 to 47 matches the Rfam family "Eukaryotic small subunit ribosomal RNA", at positions 1785 to 1831 of the family's 1831-position model. The record is from RNAcentral. Lineage: Eukaryota; Fungi; Ascomycota.
AAAGUCGUAACAAGGUUUCCGUAGGUGAACCUGCGGAAGGAUCAUUACAAAUCAGUGAGGGAGGGAGACUUUGUUGAAUGAAGGGGAGAUGGGAGGGGAGAGGAAGGGAGUGGAGGAGGGAGAGGAAGGGAGUGGAGGAGGGAGAGAAAGAGGAGAGGAAGGGUUUUCAAUCCAGAUCUCACUCGAUCUCACUCGAUCUCACUCGAUCUCACUCGAUCUCACUCACUCCCUCACUUCAAACCCCGCCCACUCCACUAUUUAUCCGAUCGAACAAACCACAAAUACCAAAACAAAUAUAACUCGCGUUCACGGAUCUCUAGGCUCUU